CAGGGUGAGAGAGAGGGAGAGCAAGCGAGAGAAAGCGCGCAAUAGAGGGAGACUGUACACACUCUAGCAUCAGUAUGUGACUACCGGUGUCUGAUAACAUUGAUAUUGAGCUCCUUCAGCGGAGAACUUGCUGAGCUACCUUUUUUCAUUUGCAAGAGGAUGCCAGCUCUAAACCUGUGCAACUGAUGACAGACUGGACGUUGGAAUAGUUCAUUUUACUUACAUCUCUCAUGUUCUGCAUCUCUGAAGAAAGGCUUAUUACUGAAGACAAAAAUUCAUCCUCUCCCCUUAGCUCACAUGAUACUGAUGAUAUACAGAGUUUGAUCUUCCAGUGAAAGCUGCUGAAUUGUCAGGUUUCUGUUAUCUUCAGUGGAAGCUCCCAAGACUGUUUGAUAGAAAAGAUAUUUCUAAGGUCUUGGUUAGUCAUCAAGCUACAAAACAAAUUCAAGACCAGAAGACAAAAAGGCAGCUGAAGUAGUAAUUCUUCAGAAGAAUUAAGACACCAGUGUCUUUCAGGU
This is a long non-coding RNA of Neopelma chrysocephalum (saffron-crested tyrant-manakin), 518 nucleotides long. RefSeq lists it as uncharacterized. NCBI's taxonomy places the organism in Eukaryota, Metazoa, Chordata, Aves, Passeriformes, Pipridae. The transcript has 3 exons. The record is from RefSeq and is a predicted model, not a curated record.